RNAcentral lists this long non-coding RNA (264 nucleotides) under Nicotiana benthamiana. RNAcentral's name for it is "long non-coding RNA (NBEN_LNC040372)". Lineage: Eukaryota; Viridiplantae; Streptophyta; Magnoliopsida; Solanales; Solanaceae. The record is from RNAcentral.
CAGGUGUGUCAGAGUUCCUAAGGAGCUCAAGGAUCCCGGGCAGUGCUCACAUCCAGAAUUUUCUCAAAUGAAAACUGAUUAUGUGCAGUGUGGAAGUACCAUCCCUAAUAUACCAGAGUUCAGAGAGAUUUCAUGGACCUCUAAGCAGUACACAUACUAGAGGGGCAGAACUUAAUAACCUAAAAAUAAGUAGGAGUGCUUGACGUGAUUCGAAAGGGUUUUGGUAAAUAGUAUAAAGAAGGGCCUUGCGAGUGAAAAGAUUUU